AUCUAGCUGAUGAGUCCUAUAUAGGAUGAAACACGUUUUAUCCUGGAU
This 48-nucleotide non-coding RNA is filed under the name Schistosoma margrebowiei. Lineage: Eukaryota; Metazoa; Platyhelminthes; Trematoda; Strigeidida; Schistosomatidae. The record is from RNAcentral.